Molecule: long non-coding RNA, 506 nt
Organism: Vidua chalybeata
Lineage: Eukaryota; Metazoa; Chordata; Aves; Passeriformes; Viduidae
Exons: 3
Source: RefSeq, a predicted model, not a curated record
GUCAAAUUGCUGAUGCAAAACAAUGUCUCAGAAAUACAACCAGCUUGUUCACCCUUUUUGCAAACCUCUUUUCAGGCUUGGACAGCCUGGCUGCGACAGUGGAACCCUCCUAAAAAACGGGUGCCAAGAGACAUAACUGGUGUUGUGGGAACAGAAUUGGGAAUCAAUUCAGAGCUCCAGUUACCUUACAUGAACUUUUAGAAUCCAAUCUCAUGUUGAUUCACAAGCUACUGCCUACUCCCAUUGGGAUGAACCUUACUUUGGUAAAGCAACCAUUACUUCAUCAAGAUCUAAUAGAGAUCCUAGGAAAAAUCAAGGAGAAUGGACAGAAAACUCUGUCCUGAAGACUCCACGACGACACCAUGGAACCCUGCUGAUGAAGGUCUUUCGAGGGCAAUCGUCAGUCACGGGGUGGUGUAAGAGCCCGUCUGAAGCCCCUCAUUUUCCAUUCUGCCUUCCGAUUGCCACGAGAAAGAAUCCCUUCCUCCACUGCAGUUCCGGCUUAG